This 795-nucleotide long non-coding RNA is filed under the name Monodelphis domestica (gray short-tailed opossum). RNAcentral's name for it is "lncRNA (ENSMODG00000033463.2)". Lineage: Eukaryota; Metazoa; Chordata; Mammalia; Didelphimorphia; Didelphidae. The record is from RNAcentral.
GGGAGUUAUUGAGUUUAACAGUCACUCCUUACCUGGCUUUUCUCUAAGCUAGAAAGGGGGACUUUUGUUCUAUCAUCUUCUGGGAAUAGACUAAUCUUGAGGAAAGAUUAGGAAAGUCCUGGGUGUGGAGAACUGCCUUGGAUAUCUGUCUUUCCCUGAAGUUCUGAGACCAGUCUGGCUGAGACAACUUUGUUAAGAAUUAGAGAUGAGGAAAACAAUGUCUGAGCAGAAGGUUCUGCCUACCCUGGUUCUCUGACAAAAUCCCUUUACUGUACUUAUUGAGAGAAAGAGCGUGAGAGACAGAUGGAAAGAUGCAGAAAGAAAGAGGUAAAGAUGGAAACAUUAGCAGAACAGAAGUACCAGCUGCAGCAAAAUAGAAGUGUCCUGAGGGUGAAAGAGAUUCAUUUGGGACUUUAUUUCUCUUUCCAGAAGAGAAGAGAUGGCCAAACCAUUAUGACUCAUUUCACAGAACAAGGAUUGAAGCAUAUGGAAAGUAAUUACAUUCAAAAUAUGCUAGAAAGUGAUUUCAUGAAUAAAGAUACAUCCCUCUCUACUCAAACUGACAGGCAGAGGCAAAAGAGCCAAAACAGGGAUACAUAAGCUUCACUAGCCGACCAUGAAACAAAAAUAGAAAAGAACCCAUUUUCUAGAAAGAGAAGCAGAUUGGAAAUCAAACCGACUCCCAGCAUCAUUAAGCAAAUCGUUAAGCAGUUACAAUGCAAUGGGCUUUUUAAGAAUAUAACUGAGUAAUAUUUAUUGAAAUAGAAUAAAAUGCUUCACUAAAAAUUAGAGGCA